AUCCAUUUGAUGAGUGGCAAAUAGGACGAAACGCGCGUCAAACUGGAU
RNAcentral lists this non-coding RNA (48 nucleotides) under Schistosoma mattheei. The record is from RNAcentral. Lineage: Eukaryota; Metazoa; Platyhelminthes; Trematoda; Strigeidida; Schistosomatidae.